RNAcentral lists this ribosomal RNA (415 nucleotides) under uncultured bacterium. Its description in RNAcentral is "bacterial SSU rRNA". It matches the Rfam family "Bacterial small subunit ribosomal RNA", at positions 402 to 809 of the family's 1533-position model. The record is from RNAcentral.
UGCGGGAAGAAGGCCUUCGGGUUGUAAACCGCUUUUGUCAGGGAAGAAAAGGUUCUGGCUAAUACCUGGGACUCAUGACGGUACCUGAAGAAUAAGCACCGGCUAACUACGUGCCAGCAGCCGCGGUAAUACGUAGGGUGCAAGCGUUAAUCGGAAUUACUGGGCGUAAAGCGUGCGCAGGCGGUUAUGCAAGACAGAGGUGAAAUCCCCGGGCUCAACCUGGGAACUGCCUUUGUGACUGCAUAGCUAGAGUGCGGCAGAGGGGGAUGGAAUUCCGCGUGUAGCAGUGAAAUGCGUAGAUAUGCGGAGGAACACCGAUGGCGAAGGCAAUCCCCUGGGCCUGCACUGACGCUCAUGCACGAAAGCGUGGGGAGCAAACAGGAUUAGAUACCCUGGUAGUCCACGCCCUAAACGA